AACGAACGCUGGCGGCAGGCUUAACACAUGCAAGUCGAACGGGUGUAGCAAUACAUCAGUGGCAGACGGGUGAGUAACACGUGAGAACCUUCCUAGGGGUACGGAACAACUCAGGGAAGCUUGAGCUAAUACCGUAUACGUCCGUGAGGAGAAAGAUUUAUCGCCCUUAGACGGGCCCGCGUCGGAUUAGCUAGUUGGUGGGGUAACGGCCUACCAAGGCGACGAUCCGUAGCUGAUCUUAGAGGAUGAUCAGCCACACUGGGACUGAGACACGGCCCAGACUCCUACGGGAGGCAGCAGUGGGGAAUCUUGGACAAUGGGCGCAAGCCUGAUCCAGCCAUGCCGCGUGAGUGAAGAAGGUCUUCGGAUUGUAAAGCUCUUUUGCCAGGGACGAUAAUGACGGUACCUAGAGAAUAAGCCCCGGCAAACUUCGUGCCAGCCGCCGCCGUAA
RNAcentral lists this ribosomal RNA (451 nucleotides) under uncultured bacterium. RNAcentral describes it as "partial 16S ribosomal RNA". It matches the Rfam family "Bacterial small subunit ribosomal RNA", at positions 29 to 523 of the family's 1533-position model. The record is from RNAcentral.